UCGAACGAUGAANACUUUCGGUGGGGUNAAGUGGCGAACGGGUGAGUAACACGUGGGCAAUCCGCUUCUUACUUCUGGGACAAGCCCCGGAAACGGGGUCUAAUACUCGGAUAGCACUUCCACGGGCAUCUGUGGGGGUUGAAAGCUCCGGCGGUGAAGGAUGGGCUCCGCGGCCUAUCAGCUUGUUGGUGAGGUAAUGGCUCACCAAGGCGACGACGGGUAGCCGGCCUGAGAGGGCGACCGGCCACACUGGGACUGAGACACGGCCCAGACUCCUACGGGAGGCAGCAGUGGGGAAUAUUGCACAAUGGGCGCAAGCCUGAUGCAGCGACGCCGCGUGAGGGAUGACGGCCUUCGGGUUGUAAACCUCUUUCAGCAGGGAAGAAGCGAAAGUGACGGUACCUGCAGAAGAAGCGCCGGCUAACUACGUGCCAGCAGCCGCGGUAAUACGUAGGGCGCAAGCGUUGUCCGGAAUUAUUGGGCGUAAAGAGCUCGUAGGCGGCUUGUCACGUCGGGUGUGAAAGCCCGGGGCUUAACCCCGGGUCUGCAUUCGAUACGGGCUAGCUAGAGUGUGGUAGGGGAGAUCGGAAUUCCUGGUGUAGCGGUGAAAUGCGCAGAUAUCAGGAGGAACACCGGUGGCGAAGGCGGAUCUCUGGGCCAUUACUGACGCUGAGGAGCGAAAGCGUGGGGAGCGAACAGGAUU
This 703-nucleotide ribosomal RNA is filed under the name Streptomyces sp. Its description in RNAcentral is "bacterial SSU rRNA". It matches the Rfam family "Bacterial small subunit ribosomal RNA", at positions 62 to 779 of the family's 1533-position model. The record is from RNAcentral. Lineage: Bacteria; Bacillati; Actinomycetota; Actinomycetes; Kitasatosporales; Streptomycetaceae.